UACAGAGGGUGCAAGCGUUAAUCGGAAUUACUGGGCGUAAAGCGUGCGUAGGCGGCUGCGCAAGUCGGGUGUGAAACCCCGGGGCUCAACCCCGGAACUGCAUCCGAUACUGCGUGGCUAGAGGUAGGUAGGGGAGAUCGGAAUUCCUGGUGUAGCGGUGAAAUGCGCAGAUAUCAGGAGGAACACCGGUGGCGAAGGCGGGUCUCUGGGCAACAACUGACGCUGAGGAGCGAAAGCGUGGGGAGCGAACAGG
Molecule: ribosomal RNA, 253 nt
Filed under: uncultured bacterium
Lineage: Bacteria
Description: partial 16S ribosomal RNA
Rfam family: Bacterial small subunit ribosomal RNA
Source: RNAcentral